RNAcentral lists this transfer RNA (69 nucleotides) under Anotopterus pharao (daggertooth). RNAcentral describes it as "tRNA-Phe". Lineage: Eukaryota; Metazoa; Chordata; Actinopteri; Aulopiformes; Alepisauridae. The record is from RNAcentral.
GCCUAUGUAGUUUAAUUAAAAUUUAACACUGAAGAUGUUAAGAAAGACCCUAAAAAGUCUCGUAAGCAU